RNAcentral lists this ribosomal RNA (277 nucleotides) under uncultured bacterium. RNAcentral's name for it is "partial 16S ribosomal RNA". It matches the Rfam family "Bacterial small subunit ribosomal RNA", at positions 519 to 793 of the family's 1533-position model. The record is from RNAcentral.
GGUAAUACGGAGGGUGCGAGCGUUAAUCGGAAUUACUGGGCGUAAAGCGCAUGCAGGCGGCCUGUUAAGUCAGAUGUGAAAGCCCCGGGGCUUAACCUCGGAAUUGCAUUUGAAACUGGCAGGCUAGAGUCUUGUAGAGGGGGUAGAAUUUCAGGUGUAGCGGUGAAAUGCGUAGAGAUCUGAAGGAAUACCAGUGGCGAAGGCGGCCCCCUCGGACAAAGACUGACGCUCAGAUGCGAAAGCGUGGGGAGCAAACAGGAUUAGAUACCCUCGGUAG